GCUGAUGUGGCUCAGUAGGUAGAGCGUCGCCUUGGUAAGGCGGAGGUCACGGGUUCGAAUCCCGUCAUCAGCU
Molecule: transfer RNA, 73 nt
Filed under: Bacillota bacterium
Lineage: Bacteria; Bacillati; Bacillota
Description: Firmicutes bacterium (gut metagenome) tRNA-Thr
Rfam family: tRNA
About the family: Transfer RNA (tRNA) molecules are approximately 80 nucleotides in length.
Source: RNAcentral